GAGGGUAUAGCUCAAUGGUAGAGUGUGUGCUUAGCAUGCACAAAGUCCUGGGUUCAAUUCCCAGUACUUCCA
RNAcentral lists this transfer RNA (72 nucleotides) under Camelus bactrianus (Bactrian camel). It matches the Rfam family "tRNA". From Rfam's summary of the family: Transfer RNA (tRNA) molecules are approximately 80 nucleotides in length. Their secondary structure includes four short double-helical elements and three loops (D, anti-codon, and T loops). Further hydrogen bonds mediate the characteristic L-shaped molecular structure. tRNAs have two regions of fundamental functional importance: the anti-codon, which is responsible for specific mRNA codon recognition, and the 3' end, to which the tRNAs corresponding amino acid is attached (by aminoacyl-tRNA synthetases). tRNAs cope with the degeneracy of the genetic code in two manners: having more than one tRNA (with a specific anti-codon) for a particular amino acid; and 'wobble' base-pairing, i.e. permitting non-standard base-pairing at the 3rd anti-codon position. The record is from Rfam by way of RNAcentral. RNAcentral also lists the same sequence under 2 other names. Lineage: Eukaryota; Metazoa; Chordata; Mammalia; Artiodactyla; Camelidae.